This 76-nucleotide transfer RNA is filed under the name compost metagenome. RNAcentral describes it as "tRNA-Met". It matches the Rfam family "tRNA". Rfam says of the family: Transfer RNA (tRNA) molecules are approximately 80 nucleotides in length. Their secondary structure includes four short double-helical elements and three loops (D, anti-codon, and T loops). The record is from RNAcentral.
GGUUACUUAGUUCAGUAGGUAGAACAGUUCCUUCAUGCGGAUCUGGUCACUGGUUCGAUUCCAGUAGUAACCACCA